This 253-nucleotide ribosomal RNA is filed under the name uncultured bacterium. RNAcentral describes it as "partial 16S ribosomal RNA". It matches the Rfam family "Bacterial small subunit ribosomal RNA", at positions 524 to 776 of the family's 1533-position model. The record is from RNAcentral.
UACGGAGGAUGCAAGCGUUAUCCGGAAUGAUUGGGCGUAAAGCGUCCGCAGGUGGCGAUGUAAGUCUGAUGUGAAAGCCCGGGGCUCACCCCCGGAAGUGCAUUGGAAACUGGUGGACUCGAGUCCCGGAGAGGAGGGUGGAAUUCCUGGUGUAGCGGUGAAAUGCGUAGAUAUCAGGAGGAACACCGGUGGCGAAGGCGGCCCUCUGGACGGUGACUGACGCUGAGACGCGAAAGCGUGGGGAGCAAACAGG